UACAGAGGGUGCGAGCGUUAAUCGGAAUUACUGGGCGUAAAGCGUGCGUAGACGGUAGCGUAAGUCAGAUGUGAAAGCCCCGGGCUCAACCUGGGAAUUGCAUUUGAGACUGCUCUGCUCGGGUGCGGAAGAGGGAAGCGGAAUUUCCGGUGUAGCGGUGAAAUGCGUAGAUAUCGGAAGGAACACCUGUGGCGAAAGCGGCUCACUGGACCAUAACUGACGCUGAGGCACGAAAGCUAGGGGAGCAAACAGG
This 253-nucleotide ribosomal RNA is filed under the name uncultured bacterium. Its description in RNAcentral is "partial 16S ribosomal RNA". It matches the Rfam family "Bacterial small subunit ribosomal RNA", at positions 524 to 776 of the family's 1533-position model. The record is from RNAcentral.